Molecule: transfer RNA, 53 nt
Filed under: Phyllocoptes taishanensis
Lineage: Eukaryota; Metazoa; Arthropoda; Arachnida; Trombidiformes; Eriophyidae
Description: tRNA-Gln
Source: RNAcentral
UGCAAAAUGGUGUAAGGCACAUUAGAUUUUGAGUUUAAAAGAAAGUAUUGCAA